Molecule: non-coding RNA, 1800 nt
Organism: Macaca mulatta (Rhesus monkey)
Lineage: Eukaryota; Metazoa; Chordata; Mammalia; Primates; Cercopithecidae
Source: RefSeq, a predicted model, not a curated record
UGGUCCACCAAAUUGAGAGGUGACAACGUGCUAGCAGCCCUCGCUCUCGGCGCCUCCUCGGCCUUGGCGUCCACUCUGGCAGCGCUUGAAGAGCCCUUCAGCCCCCCACUGCACUGUAGGAGCCCUUCUCUGGGCUGGCCAAGGCAGGAGCCGCCUCCCUCUGCUUGCAGCCCUGAAAGAAAACCGAGAGACAACCCACUAGGAUAUCUUCUUCGUCCUGCAGAAAAUAAAUCACAUUAAUAAGAACCAACAUGGAGUCUCAACACGUAAUACAGAUGAAGCCAAGGAAACACAGAUAGAUUGAGGCAGAAAACGCAGAGACUAUGAAUCUCCUUGGAUCCACAUGAAGGUGCCCACUGAGAGCUCACCUAAAACAUUAGGGCCCUUCAGAGAGUGCUUCAGAUAAUGUUGUUGUAAAUAAAUGACAUUUUCCUGAAACACUUGUGAGCAAGCUAUAAAGUGCUAAGACAACAUAUAGAAACUAUUUAGAAAAAGAGGUCCAAAACAGUUGAUUCUCAUUAUUUGUGGUAGUUAUGUUCUAUAAAUUACCCACAAACCCUGAUUUAGCAAAUACUGAACCUUUGCUCCUGGGAGAAACACAGGGCUAGGUUCCUGAGAGCAUCUGGUCACAUUUUCAUCAACCAGUCAAUAUGCAAUGUUGUUUUAUGUGUGUGCCUGUUUAAAGAUGCCUUAUUUAAUCUAUGUUGUUGACUUAUUCACAUUGAACUCACAACCAACAGCACUAUAACUCAUGACCAAAUGAAGCUUAUGUAACAUGCAUAUUUUCUUUGGAAGACACACCACAGACUUCUUGCACUUAGGAAAUCUAGACAGCACUUCAGUACUGUUUAGGGGCCAUUUUAAACAGUGAAAUUGCCAACAAAAAUGAAAAAAAUAAAGAGCAUGGCACUAAGGAGACUAGGACACUUGUUUACAGCAUGAGAGUUGAGAUAAGAAGGCAGAGCAUGGCCUUAUUAGAUCUCAGUUAAAAACAUGUGCGUCAGACGACUCAACAUUUUCACUGAUUUGCACAUGUCCUCAGAUGAUGGAGAAGGCAUCAUGAGUAUUGAUUUGGGGUUCUAAAUAUAUUUCACUGUGUAGGCAAAUUUACCAACAAGCAGUCUAUGAAUAAUGAGAAUAGACUGUAAUCACUUUAAUGUGUCAGGAAUGAAAGACAGCAUGUUUGAUGCAGAUAUAUCUUCAAUGUUGAUUACACCUUAAUGCAGUAUUAUUUAGUUCCUUAAAGAAUACAAAGAGAGACAUUUGCAGCAGAAGGACAAAUGACUUCAUGCAUGCUCAUCCAGAAACUUUUUUCUCUAAGUAACAGUUAUUGUUUAAUUAUAUAGAAUUAAAUAUAUUCUUUAUAUAUUUUAAUAUAACUUUAAUAUUUGCCAAAUAUAUGUAGCAUAAGAUACACAGAAUUAAUCACAUAACAUCAUAUUUAAUAGCCAUAAAUGAUAACAUAUUACACGAAGUCAGAUGGAGGGGAAAAUUAGGUCUUACCAACGUCAAAAUACAAGUGUAUGAUAGAUAAAUAUUUAUAACAUAUUUUAACUGUUAAGAAAAAUCAGAAACUGCCAUGAAGGUGAAACCCACUUAUACUACUAUUUAAUAAAACUUUCUCUCGCCCACAUUUCUGUGAAUAAAAUCCUGGCCUCCUGCUGAGUGGUUCCCCUAUUCGUUUUUGGAAAAUGUCAUAAAAUGGCUUCAUUGACCAAUAAUCAUGUGGGACAGGACAGAACAGAUGAGUUGAGGGUUGAUCUUAAUGUGGAACACCUAAUAAAACCACCUGUUUUUCAA